UUUCUCAUUAGCCCAGUUUGUCUUAACCUGUGAGCAAGAGCACAUGUUUAGGAAAGUAAGAGGACAGUUCUUACGGCAGAUGGAUUUCUGCUCCCACGCCUUCCGUGGGAAGGACUUGCCCUGCCAGAAGUCAGAGGCGCAAGGCAGCACUGGUGUAUCUCUGUGUUUGUGGUGCAGGUGGGUAAGUGGGAGAACCAGACCCUGAGCCCAAGGCCCACGGUGUGGCCCUGGUACAAGUCCUUCUCUGACUGUGAGCUGGAUCACAACCACCUGAGCAUCAUCACCCUGGAGGAGGCCCCCUUCGUUAUGGUGGAAGACAUCAACCCGCUGACUGAGGCGUGUGUGAGGAACACGGUGCCGUGUCGGAAGUUCAUCAAAAUCAAACUGCACACACGGAGGAGAAGGCAGAAGCUUAGAGAAACACCAAGAAUCCCUCUGUGUUCUGUUCCAGCCUGUCCAAGGUUCUGACACCUCAUACUUCUUGGUGUCCAGCGUUGCAGCAUUCUUCCUCGGAUGCUGUGUAGAGCCCCGGCGCUGGACUUGGAACAAGGAGGUGAGCUCCAUGAUGAGCAACACCUGCAGGAAGGCUGGGCCGCUGGUGUCUGAGGAGUGGUAGUGGAUUCACUGGGCCUCUGACUCAGGUUCAUCCAUCCUCGCCUGAAUGUGGUGAAUUAAGACUUUGUUCCUACUGGUCAGCAGUAACUAGUGUUGUCCUUGAAGAGUCAUCCCUCUGGCUUCAUUUCCCCUGGGAUUGCUAUUGUGGUGACUCCUCCUCAUCACUCCUCCUCAUCCUCCAGGUCUCAGCUCAAGGGCUGGCUCUGAGGAGGCCACCUGUGACCCCCCACUCCAGGCACAUCGCUGUGGCUGCUGGAGAGGAGUUGUCCACUGGCCUGAGCUCGGCAUGAGGUCCCC
Molecule: non-coding RNA, 912 nt
Organism: Oryctolagus cuniculus (rabbit)
Lineage: Eukaryota; Metazoa; Chordata; Mammalia; Lagomorpha; Leporidae
Source: RefSeq, a predicted model, not a curated record